AUUGAACGCUGGCGGCAUGCCUUACACAUGCAAGUCGAACGGUAACAGGUUAAGCUGACGAGUGGCGAACGGGUGAGUAAUGUAUCGGAACGUGCCCAGUCGUGGGGGAUAACUGCUCGAAAGAGCAGCUAAUACCGCAUACGACCUGAGGGUGAAAGCGGGGGAUCGCAAGACCUCGCGCGAUUGGAGCGGCCGAUAUCAGAUUAGGUAGUUGGUGAGGUAAAGGCUCACCAAGCCGACGAUCUGUAGCUGGUCUGAGAGGACGACCAGCCACACUGGGACUGAGACACGGCCCAGACUCCUACGGGAGGCAGCAGUGGGGAAUUUUGGACAAUGGGCGCAAGCCUGAUUCAGCCAUGCCGCGUGCGGGAAGAAGGCCUUCGGGUUGUAAACCGCUUUUGUCAGGGAAGAAAGGGUUCUGGCUAAUACCUGGGACUCAUGACGGUACCUGAAGAAUAAGCACCGGCUAACUACGUGCCAGCCGCCGCGGUAA
Molecule: ribosomal RNA, 493 nt
Filed under: uncultured bacterium
Lineage: Bacteria
Description: partial 16S ribosomal RNA
Rfam family: Bacterial small subunit ribosomal RNA
Source: RNAcentral